This 332-nucleotide ribosomal RNA is filed under the name uncultured bacterium. RNAcentral describes it as "bacterial SSU rRNA". It matches the Rfam family "Bacterial small subunit ribosomal RNA", at positions 568 to 898 of the family's 1533-position model. The record is from RNAcentral.
CUCGUAGGCGGUCGCGUACGGCGGUGGUGAAAGCUCCCGGCUCAACUGGGAGAGGCCCAUCGCAACGGCGUGACUCGAGGAUGGUAGAGGCAGAUGGAAUUCCUGGUGUAGCGGUGAAAUGCGUAGAGAUCAGGAGGAACACCCGUGGCGAAGGCGGUCUGCUGGGCCAUAUCUGACGCUGAGGAGCGAAAGCCAGGGGAGCGAACGGGAUUAGAUACCCCGGUAGUCCUGGCCGUAAACGAUGGAUACUAGGUGUCAGCGGUAUCGACCCCGCUGGUGCCGUAGCUAACGCGAUAAGUAUCCCGCCUGGGGAGUACGGCCGCAAGGUUGAA